UCCAGACUCCUACGGGAGGCAGCAGUGAGGAAUAUUGGUCAAUGGGCGGGAGCCUGAACCAGCCAAGUCGCGUGAGGGAUGACGGUCCUACGGAUUGUAAACCUCUUUUGCCGGGGAGCAAGCGUGCGUUCGUGAACGCGCGUCGAGAGUACCCGGAGAAAAAGCAUCGGCUAACUCCGUGCCAGCAGCCGCGGUAAUACGGAGGAUGCGAGCGUUAUCCGGAUUUAUUGGGUUUAAAGGGUGCGUAGGCGGGCAUUUAAGCCGGCGGUCAAAUGUCGGGGCUCAACCCCGGCCUGCCGUCGGAACUGGGUGCCUUGAGUGGGCGAGAAGUAUGCGGAAUGCGUGGUGUAGCGGUGAAAUGCAUAGAUAUCACGCAGAACCCCGAUUGCGAAGGCAGCAUACCGGCGCCCUACUGACGCUGAGGCACGAAAGUGCGGGUAUCGAACAGGAUUAGAUACCCAGUA
RNAcentral lists this ribosomal RNA (464 nucleotides) under uncultured bacterium. RNAcentral's name for it is "bacterial SSU rRNA". It matches the Rfam family "Bacterial small subunit ribosomal RNA", at positions 330 to 791 of the family's 1533-position model. The record is from RNAcentral.